CAUGCGCAUAUUGCUAUGAUGUACUCUUGGAUGAAGGUCGUUGUGAUUUCAAAUUCUCCGUGGGAAAAUCUGUGUUUGACGGCGUUCAAGAGCAGAGUUCUCUACAUUUGGCCCAACAGCUCAAAUGGAAACUAGAGCACAAGAUCAGAAGGAAGCUGCCACACAUGGCCUUAUGACUGUUGCCCCAGUGAAGAACCCGAGGUCCAGCCUUCCCCACUCAAGACAUGCCUGAGACGAGAGUGGCUGUAUUCCAAGUUGAUCCAAGGUGAUCCUAACUUAAAUGUAGUUCACCACUUGAAAAAGACAAAAAUACUCAACACUAU
Molecule: long non-coding RNA, 323 nt
Organism: Anguilla anguilla (European eel)
Lineage: Eukaryota; Metazoa; Chordata; Actinopteri; Anguilliformes; Anguillidae
Exons: 3
Source: RefSeq, a predicted model, not a curated record